Long non-coding RNA from Clupea harengus (Atlantic herring), 1383 nucleotides. Lineage: Eukaryota; Metazoa; Chordata; Actinopteri; Clupeiformes; Clupeidae. The record is from Ensembl.
CAUGCAUGUAAGUAUAUCAUGUGUUAUGCCAGUAUGCCUAUAAGGAGGGAAUACCGUGCUAAACGGUUAAUUGAUUAACGCACGUUCAAUGGUAACGGCCAGGGGUUUAAAUUUGUCCCGCACAGCUCGGUCGGGAAGAGGUCGCUGACGUGAGCAAUAUGGAGUCUGUCUAGCUAUUAAAAGCACUAUUGUCAUAUCAGAUUUAACUCAUAACAGGAGACCUCAAAUGUUUAGUUUGCAUAACUCCCUGCAGAGUUGUUGACGACAGUCAUAUGACUCAGCCUCAUCUCUUGCAACCACAUGAUGUUACCUGCCAACAGAAGAAACUGCAGAGACAAGAUGGCUCCUGGUUAGGUAACGCAGAUUCAGAUGAUAAUGAAACCAGUUGGUUGUGAUUGUCAUGGGAACACGUGCCGCUAUCGCUGCUGCUAAUCUGUCUUUCUUUUCUGUGGGAGUCCAGCAAACAACAAGAAAUGCAUGAUGACCUUCUAAAGGGCAUCGUGAAAAUCUCAAGCAAGUGAAAGAAAAUCAGUGGAUGUGAUUUAAGCCAUCCUUCCACCUCUAUCCUCGUCUGCUGCACCAAGAUCAAACAGGCACGCUGAAGACAGCUUGGCCCACUUUCUGCCCCCAAGGAGAUGACUCACUCACACCCACACACAAACACACACACACACACACACACACACACACACACACACACACACAUGUAAGGCAACACUCUCAUGACUUGCUGUUUUUGCUCACAAAAAUUGGCAGGAUGAAUCCAGCGCUCUCUCAUUAGGAAGUCUUCUUUCCUUCAAAGCGAAUGGCCCAUCCGCCAGGAUUUCAGCAUCCAGAGACGACCAUACAGGGCCAGGUGUCAUCUGAGAAGAUGAUAAUUCCACGAACAUGUGACCUCACAGGCUGCCAAGCUCUUGAUCAAACGGCCUGGAGCCCGCUUUGUUUAUUUGAGAUAAAUAUAUAUAUUUUUUAGUGCCGAUGACGCAUCUGUGCAUGAUGCACUAGGCUGAACUUUUCUACUGAAGUCUAACAUUGCAUUCGUCAUCUGGAGGGGUUUGUUUCAGAUGGUGAAGAGGAGUCAGACCUUGACACCUCGGAUUGCCAAAAUCUCAACAAAGAUCACGUGGUGGUGAACAGUCAAUGGGAUAACGGAGAUAGAUGCCACUGAGCGUAUGGCGUCAAAACACCCCCCGUCUCCAGUCAGAACUGUCAGACUAAAUUUGCCGGUUUAUGUGCAGUGCCGGUUUAUGUGUAGUGCCGGUUUAUGUGCAGGAGUACGUUUAUUUUUUUGUGGUUCAGCUGAUUAAAAUAUGCUGGAGACUAUUGCCUGCUUUUUUAAUAAGCCCUUUGUGACCUGUAAACUAGAGUUACUGAGCUUAAGAC